UCCUAGGUGGCUCAGUGGGUAAAGAAUCUGCCUGCAAUGCAGAAGACCUGGGUUUGAUCCCUGGGUCAGGAA
This 72-nucleotide transfer RNA is filed under the name Bos taurus (domestic cattle). It matches the Rfam family "tRNA". Rfam says of the family: Transfer RNA (tRNA) molecules are approximately 80 nucleotides in length. Their secondary structure includes four short double-helical elements and three loops (D, anti-codon, and T loops). The record is from Rfam by way of RNAcentral. Lineage: Eukaryota; Metazoa; Chordata; Mammalia; Artiodactyla; Bovidae. RNAcentral also lists the same sequence under 5 other names.